RNAcentral lists this ribosomal RNA (273 nucleotides) under Escherichia coli. Its description in RNAcentral is "partial 16S ribosomal RNA". It matches the Rfam family "Bacterial small subunit ribosomal RNA", at positions 1 to 269 of the family's 1533-position model. The record is from RNAcentral. Lineage: Bacteria; Pseudomonadati; Pseudomonadota; Gammaproteobacteria; Enterobacterales; Enterobacteriaceae.
AAAUUGAAGAGUUUGAUCAUGGCUCAGAUUGAACGCUGGCGGCAGGCCUAACACAUGCAAGUCGAACGGUAACAGGAAGCAGCUUGCUGCUUCGCUGACGAGUGGCGGACGGGUGAGUAAUGUCUGGGAAACUGCCUGAUGGAGGGGGAUAACUACUGGAAACGGUAGCUAAUACCGCAUAAUGUCGCAAGACCAAAGAGGGGGGACCUUCGGGCCUCUUGCCAUCGGAUGUGCCCAGAUGGGAUUAGCUUGUUGGUGGGGUAACGGCUCACC